This 3433-nucleotide long non-coding RNA is filed under the name Sus scrofa (pig). RNAcentral's name for it is "lncRNA (ENSSSCG00000054954.1)". Lineage: Eukaryota; Metazoa; Chordata; Mammalia; Artiodactyla; Suidae. The record is from RNAcentral.
UUGGAAUUUGAUUAUUGUAUUAAUCCCAUUGCCAAUUGCUAAAUUCCUUUGCAGGGUAAUUAGCUUGUUAUCUGAUUUUGUCUUGCUUCCACUGAGUCAAGAUGUACAUAGGUGGAAAAUGCAUUAAAUAAGCCAUCUUGAUUGAUGGCUUCUUUUCAAUGCCAGCGAGUCCAUGCAAAUACAAAUGACACCAUAUAUAUUACUCUCAAUAGGUAGAGGUUUUAAAGAAUCAGGUCAUUUAUUAUGGAACAUAAUCAGAUAGUAGGUAUAUUUUUAAUAAGCAUUUCUCAUAUGACUAAUUGUUUUUUUUUUGGGGGGGGAUUCAUUCUGAGAUACUGUUGCCAAUACCUUUCACAUCUGUCAACCCAAGCUCCAUGAAAACUGGACCCCUGAAUUCUUUUCAGCAUCCUCCUCCAGCAGAAUAGGAAUAAGCGAUGAUACUUCUGUGUCAGCUGAGUAGAGGUGGAACUGUGUCACUUGUCAUAUUAAAAGAGCGAUAUGUGAUGUCUUUAAAGUGAAGCUCCUGACCUCUUUGUUUUUUAUUUUUUUAUUUUUUUUUCCUAAUCAAGAAAAUAUCAGCCACUUUCACAGCUGGACUCCAAUAGCACCUUCUACAUAUUUUUAUUCCAGCAUUUCAGUGUGCUCUGCUGUGGUGAUUUGAUUAUGUAUUGGUCUCCACUUUUCUUUCAUCAACUCAAGGGGACUUGAUUUACUUUCCUAUUCAUGUGUGUAUCACUGGAGGAAUUUGUAAAUAAUAAACUUUUAUUAACUAGGAAAUAAGUGGAACAACCCUCGAGAUCAUGAUCCUAGUGUCAAUUACGUAACACAAACAAAAAUAUUUUUUAAAAUGUAUAUGUAUUAUAAUAUAAAAGGCAGAAAGAAGUGGCCCACUCCCUCCUAGGUGACCUGGAGAAUUAGAGCAGUGCCUUCUAGCUUAUAUAUGUUUUCUUCAAUAAUAGGACCCUCUCCUUCUAGGUCAGUUACAUCUUGGGAUCUCUUUCAAAUAAUUCUGUGAAGACGGUAUCUAGCCUUAUAAGCAGAACUUACCUUACUGGCAGGCACAGAAAAACAAGAAUCAUUAUGAAGGUAGAGUAUACAUACAUGUCAGAAUAGAGUUUCUACUUAGAAAAAACUUUAAUAUUGUCUUAUAUACCAGCAGUAAGUUUUCUAACCAUGAAAAUGAUUGAUGUGAAAUUUCCAAAAAUGCAUUUUUUAAUAAAAUUUAUCCCUCCAAAAACAUUUUUGAAUCUUACUAUUAUGUUAUUAACUUACCUAUAAAUCAGUAUUAUUUCAACUGAUUAUUUAAAAAGAAGACUUGAAUAGACAUUAAAGCUGUUCUGGCUCUUACAGGAUUAAUAUAAAACACUCUCAAGUUAUAAUAGAAUUUUAAAUCUGAAUGACUUUUUCUUUUUGAGAAAAUGAUAUUAAUGAAAUACAUAUUAAAAAUUUUUUUUUUGGACAGGCUAAGUUUUAAAAUAAGACUCAAGUCUUCCAUUAAUUAAAGUUUGUUCUAAGGGAUUAAAAAGAUCAACUUUCCGUUUUUAAAUGCUAAAUAUAGAAAGCGUACAUGUUAGAGUAAGUUAUAAAAUCUGUCCUUCAUAAAUAGAACUAAAAUUAAAUUGAAUAGGGAACAAUGGGUCGUGUUUAAAGACAAAUACAUAAUAAAUGCUAAAAUGUGCUGGCAAUAGUCUGACUUACAAGACACAUUGUUGAAUUUAAGACAGGGCUUUGUCCCAACACUUACUGACAACUAUGAUUUAACAUUUUUUAAAUUAUUGUAAAUGCUACCAUAUAUGUCGUUGAAACCUCAGACAAAUUUCAUGGCCAUUAUCUUUUAUUUUUGUGAUGAAGGAAAAAAAGUUCAGGUACUAAAAGGUCAGUUUUACUAAAUCUAUAGCUAAAACUGAAUUAAAUGUCUAGGCUUUCUAUAGGAUAAUAAAAGAAUCUCACAGCUAAAUCAGUUUAUUAAAACUAAAAAUCAAUUGAGUGAGGGAGGGCAAUCCGAUCCUAGUAUUCCCAGUAUUGUAUUUAUUUUGAUUAUUUUAAAACACCAUGUAGAUGCAUAAACUACACACUGGACACUCUAUUAGAUUCUUUUUAGGCAUCCCACAACACAAUGGGCAAUGAUCCUUGGUAGAUUUCCACACAGCUAAUGAAUGGUCUAUUGCCUCUUUUCCUCACUUCUUUUAGAGAACUGUGUGUUUUUUCUACCCAGUUAAGACCACACGUCUUCUGUAUUUAUGCUAUUUUUUUUUAUUUGGAUUUACAGUGCUGGUUUUGGCUGUCUGACCUCCCCCCCUGGCAACUGAUCAUAUGAUUUCAUGUCUGUGUCAGAAUGCACUUUAGAAUCUAGAAGCUGCAGUGAAGAGCAGCUAGGUAAAGGGAGGUUCUCAUGUAUACUUCCCAUAAUUGUGUACGUAAAGAAAUAUAGGAGGUAGGAUUUAGAUGCUUGAUAUGCAUAAAUAAAAAAUAAAGAUGGAAGAAGAUCUAAAUCUAGUAAAAAGCCAAUUAGAGACACACAGGAAACUGACAACCCACUGGCUAUGUGAGUAAUGCUUCUUCCUGAAUUAUUUUUUGACUAAAUCUAGUAAGAUAGCAUUAUACUCACUUCUAAUAAGUAUUAUGACUUGAUUCUGUUAUUUCAAAUUUAUAAUUAAUGGUAAUUAAUACAUUUUCCUUUAUUUUGGCUUCCUUUAUUCAUUGCUACCCCCCCCAACAAUGGUAGUCUGCCACUCUCUCUACACUGUACCCUCCCAUAUAUUUUUGAUUCCUUCCCUUUGACUUUACAAUUCUGAGCCCAUGCCUCCAACCCAGAACCUAUUUUGUGUUAAAAAACCAUUACAUUUGGAUCUACUAACAAUGCUAAGAAAGUGUUUAAUCCCACUCCUUUCGUUUUGUUGAUGAGAAAAUUGAGAUACAAAGACAUGUGUGUCAGACACUCUCAAUUGAACUUACAGGAAACAUAAUAUAUAUGAAUAUAGUAGUUUACUGAAUAUGUUUAUAUAAAUUAUUGGGUUUUUAUCCUCUUAAGACUCUGUUAAGAAUAGUCUUUAUUACACAUAUUUAUAAAUAAGAAAUUGAAUAUUUUAGAGGUUAAGUGAUUGCCCCAAAUCACAUGACUAAGGGUUGACCCCAGGUCUAAAUUUUGAUCUUCUAAUACCUAAUCCAGUGUUUUUUCCAUCACGGUAUUCCAGCGUUGCCUUUUCCAUUCACUCUGUCUUAUUAUUUCUAACUUAAUUCUAAUCGCCGAUUCGUUUUUCAAUAUUAGAUAUUUGUGACAUUACAUGCACACACAAACACACUCAUCUUUUAGGGCACAGCAUGUAGUCCUAAGCUUCCAGAGCAGCUAAUACAAGCAAAGUCUUUUGUGAGAGUUUUUAUGGCUUUUAUUCAUUUGCUGAGUAUGUUUCAAUUGGUUUCAAUUGGUACAAUU